RNAcentral lists this ribosomal RNA (170 nucleotides) under uncultured Streptomyces sp. RNAcentral's name for it is "partial 16S ribosomal RNA". It matches the Rfam family "Bacterial small subunit ribosomal RNA", at positions 340 to 523 of the family's 1533-position model. The record is from RNAcentral. Lineage: Bacteria; Bacillati; Actinomycetota; Actinomycetes; Kitasatosporales; Streptomycetaceae.
UACGGGGGGCAGCAGUGGGGAAUAUUGCACAAUGGGCGAAAGCUGAUGCAGCGACGCCGCGUGAGGGAUGACGGCCUUCGGGUUGUAAACCUCUUUCAGCAGGGAAGAAGCGCGAGUGACGGUACCUGCAGAAGAAGCGCCGGCUAACUACGUGCCAGCAGCCGCGGUAA